Molecule: long non-coding RNA, 516 nt
Organism: Triplophysa dalaica
Lineage: Eukaryota; Metazoa; Chordata; Actinopteri; Cypriniformes; Nemacheilidae
Exons: 3
Source: RefSeq, a predicted model, not a curated record
ACCAGUAGGAAGAAUGAAAAGGAAAAAGUCUCUGUUAGCGAUUAGUGUGGGCUUAAAGCUGGCCAGGAGACUGAAUCAAAAGCGGAGUCAGGGCUUCAAGAUGUGCCAAGGGUUGGGCCUUCCCUUGAUGACCGGCUGCCCUGACAACCACAGAAGAAGGCGGGGAAAGCACGUCCCAUGCGGACAUUAGUUCAGUCUCUGCAACAAUGCCUCCUGUCCCUGUACAUCACACCUGUUCGGUUCCUCCCCCACGCACAAAUCUGUUACGCACGCUGCGGCAUCACAAGAAACCAGAAAAACGAGAGGUUUCCUCUUAUCGACGGUCGGCCUUUUACAACGUAUUUCUGGACGACUGCUUGUCUGACUGUAAAUCCACAGCUGGCGUUCCCCAGACGUCUUUUACACCAGGCGCGCGGCACCCACAGCCGUGCCUUGUUUAGGAAGAAGCAAAUGGGCUUCUGGGAAUGCCGGGUAACACCCGCUGCUGUAUGAUGCUCCCGGAGGAGAACAUGAAGA